AUGGUGCUUGCGCCUGAUUGACGAUGGAUCACCAGUGAGUGGCGGACGGGUGAGUAACACGUAGGUAACCUGCCCCGGAGCGGGGGAUAACAUUUGGAAACAGAUGCUAAUACCGCAUAACAACAAAAGCCACAUGGCUUUUGUUUGAAAGAUGGCUUUGGCUAUCACUCUGGGAUGGACCUGCGGUGCAUUAGCUAGUUGGUAAGGUAACGGCUUACCAAGGCGAUGAUGCAUAGCCGAGUUGAGAGACUGAUCGGCCACAAUGGAACUGAGACACGGUCCAUACUCCUACGGGAGGCAGCAGUAGGGAAUCUUCCACAAUGGGCGCAAGCCUGAUGGAGCAACACCGCGUGAGUGAAGAAGGGUUUCGGCUCGUAAAGCUCUGUUGUUGGAGAAGAACGUGCGUGAGAGUAACUGUUCACGCAGUGACGGUAUCCAACCAGAAAGUCACGGCUAACUACGUGCCAGCAGCCGCGGUAAUACGUAGGUGGCAAGCGUUAUCCGGAUUUAUUGGGCGUAAAGCGAGCGCAGGCGGUUGCUUAGGUCUGAUGUGAAAGCCUUCGGCUUAACCGAAGAAGUGCAUCGGAAACCGGGCGACUUGAGUGCAGAAGAGGACAGUGGAACUCCAUGUGUAGCGGUGGAAUGCGUAGAUAUAUGGAAGAACACCAGUGGCGAAGGCGGCUGUCUGGUCUGCAACUGACGCUGAGGCUCGAAAGCAUGGGUAGCGAACAGGAUUAGAUACCCUGGUAGUCCAUGCCGUAAACGAUGAGUGCUAGGUGUUGGAGGGUUUCCGCCCUUCAGUGCCGGAGCUAACGCAUUAAGCACUCCGCCUGGGGAGUACGACCGCAAGGUUGAAACUC
Molecule: ribosomal RNA, 860 nt
Filed under: uncultured bacterium
Lineage: Bacteria
Description: bacterial SSU rRNA
Rfam family: Bacterial small subunit ribosomal RNA
Source: RNAcentral